This 581-nucleotide long non-coding RNA is filed under the name Actinidia chinensis (golden kiwifruit). Its description in RNAcentral is "long non-coding RNA (ACHI_LNC001065)". The record is from RNAcentral. Lineage: Eukaryota; Viridiplantae; Streptophyta; Magnoliopsida; Ericales; Actinidiaceae.
ACUCGUUAAACCUAAAAGACUUGGCCCCCUUCGCCAUGUAGAAUGACACUUAUCUAUGGCCCAUAUGGGUUAAUCAAUUAAUUUGCGAUUCAGAUAAGACUUAGACAUUGGGUUCUCGACAUCCCUAAAAACAUUGGGUUCUCGACACCCCACCCUUUUCUGUUCCCUAAACGCAGCACUUGGUCCAUAGAUAUUUUGCCUCUAGCCUGAUAAAUAUGUUGUCGCGACUGGGCCCGGGUAGAGUCUCACUUCUGGGUUUUUUUGGUCGCUUGUACUUGGAUACUUGUUGUCAUUGGCUGCUCGUAAUCAGCAGAAAGGUUCCACAAAAUCAGCCCUCGAACGAUAUUCAAGAAUUGCGCAUCAACAAAAAGAAACAAGCACAACAACAACAACAACCAGCUGCAAAGUAUGGAUAGCGGUCUAAGACCAAAGAAUAUGAGGAUGAAGAGCUGGGUACUUUAUUAGGCCCUAGGACCAAAAAUAAUAGCUGGAUUACUGCUUAUAGAUUGCUGGCAAAUAUAAUGGCAUGGUUUGUUUUCAAGUUCAUAAUGUCUCGUUCAUAAAAAUGUUUGGUUGUGCUG